This 444-nucleotide ribosomal RNA is filed under the name uncultured bacterium. RNAcentral's name for it is "bacterial SSU rRNA". It matches the Rfam family "Bacterial small subunit ribosomal RNA", at positions 338 to 795 of the family's 1533-position model. The record is from RNAcentral.
CCUACGGGGUGCAGCAGUGGGGAAUAUUGGACAAUGGGCAAAAGCCUGAUCCAGCAACGCCGCGUGCGGGAUGACGGCCUUCGGGUUGUAAACCGCUUUCGCCUGUGACGAAGCGUGAGUGACGGUAAUGGGUAAAGAAGCACCGGCUAACUACGUGCCAGCAGCCGCGGUGAUACGUAGGGUGCGAGCGUUGUCCGGAUUUAUUGGGCGUAAAGGGCUCGUAGGUGGUUGAUCGCGUCGGAAGUGUAAUCUUGGGGCUAACCCUGAGCGUGCUUUCGAUACGGGUUGACUUGAGGAAGGUAGGGGAGAAUGGAAUUCCUGGUGGAGCGGUGGAAUGCGCAGAUAUCAGGAGGAACACCAGUGGCGAAGGCGGUUCUCUGGGCCUUUCCUGACGCUGAGGAGCGAAAGCGUGGGGAGCGAACAGGAUUAGAUACCCGAGUAGUC